GAUGAACGCUAGCGAUAGGCUUAACACAUGCAAGUCGAACGGUAACAGGCCGCAAGGUGCUGACGAGUGGCGAACGGGUGAGUAAUGCAUCGGAACGUGCCCAGUCGUGGGGGAUAACGCAGCGAAAGCUGCGCUAAUACCGCAUACGAUCUAUGGAUGGAAGCGGGGGACCGUAAGGCCUCGCGCGAUUGGAGCGGCCGAUGUCAGAUUAGGUAGUUGGUGGGGUAAAGGCCUACCAAGCCGACGAUCUGUAGCUGGUCUGAGAGGACGACCAGCCACACUGGGACUGAGACACGGCCCAGACUCCUACGGGAGGCAGCAGUGGGGAAUUUUGGACAAUGGGCGCAAGCCUGAUCCAGCAAUGCCGCGUGCAGGAAGAAGGCCUUCGGGUUGUAAACUGCUUUUGUACGGAACGAAACGGCCUGGGUUAAUACCCUGGGCUAAUGACGGUACCGUAAGAAUAAGCACCGGCUAACUACGUGCCAGCAGCCGCGGUAA
RNAcentral lists this ribosomal RNA (498 nucleotides) under uncultured bacterium. Its description in RNAcentral is "partial 16S ribosomal RNA". It matches the Rfam family "Bacterial small subunit ribosomal RNA", at positions 28 to 523 of the family's 1533-position model. The record is from RNAcentral.